This 1001-nucleotide ribosomal RNA is filed under the name Salmonella enterica subsp. enterica serovar Typhimurium. RNAcentral's name for it is "partial 23S ribosomal RNA". It matches the Rfam family "Bacterial large subunit ribosomal RNA", at positions 1918 to 2912 of the family's 2925-position model. Lineage: Bacteria; Pseudomonadati; Pseudomonadota; Gammaproteobacteria; Enterobacterales; Enterobacteriaceae. RNAcentral also lists the same sequence under 1 other name. The record is from RNAcentral.
CCCCGGUAAACGGCGGCCGUAACUAUAACGGUCCUAAGGUAGCGAAAUUCCUUGUCGGGUAAGUUCCGACCUGCACGAAUGGCGUAAUGAUGGCCAGGCUGUCUCCACCCGAGACUCAGUGAAAUUGAACUCGCUGUGAAGAUGCAGUGUACCCGCGGCAAGACGGAAAGACCCCGUGAACCUUUACUAUAGCUUGACACUGAACAUUGAGCCUUGAUGUGUAGGAUAGGUGGGAGGCUUUGAAGUGUGGACGCCAGUCUGCAUGGAGCCGACCUUGAAAUACCACCCUUUAAUGUUUGAUGUUCUAACGUGGACCCGUAAUCCGGGUUGCGGACAGUGUCUGGUGGGUAGUUUGACUGGGGCGGUCUCCUCCUAAAGAGUAACGGAGGAGCACGAAGGUUGGCUAAUCCUGGUCGGACAUCAGGAGGUUAGUGCAAUGGCAUAAGCCAGCUUGACUGCGAGCGUGACGGCGCGAGCAGGUGCGAAAGCAGGUCAUAGUGAUCCGGUGGUUCUGAAUGGAAGGGCCAUCGCUCAACGGAUAAAAGGUACUCCGGGGAUAACAGGCUGAUACCGCCCAAGAGUUCAUAUCGACGGCGGUGUUUGGCACCUCGAUGUCGGCUCAUCACAUCCUGGGGCUGAAGUAGGUCCCAAGGGUAUGGCUGUUCGCCAUUUAAAGUGGUACGCGAGCUGGGUUUAGAACGUCGUGAGACAGUUCGGUCCCUAUCUGCCGUGGGCGCUGGAGAACUGAGGGGGGCUGCUCCUAGUACGAGAGGACCGGAGUGGACGCAUCACUGGUGUUCGGGUUGUCAUGCCAAUGGCACUGCCCGGUAGCUAAAUGCGGAAGAGAUAAGUGCUGAAAGCAUCUAAGCACGAAACUUGCCCCGAGAUGAGUUCUCCCUGAGACUUAGAGUCUCCUGAAGGAACGUUGAAGACGACGACGUUGAUAGGCCGGGUGUGUAAGCGCAGCGAUGCGUUGAGCUAACCGGUACUAAUGAACCGUG